UACGAAGGGGGCUAGCGUUGUUCGGAUUUACUGGGCGUAAAGCGCACGUAGGCGGAUUGUUAAGUGAGAGGUGAAAUCCCGGAGCUCAACUCCGGAACUGCCUUUCAUACUGGCAAUCUAGAGUCCGGAAGAGGUGAGUGGAACUCCUAGUGUAGAGGUGGAAUUCGUAGAUAUUAGGAAGAACACCAGUGGCGAAGGCGGCUCACUGGUCCGGUACUGACGCUGAGGUGCGAAAGCGUGGGGAGCAA
RNAcentral lists this ribosomal RNA (248 nucleotides) under uncultured bacterium. RNAcentral describes it as "partial 16S ribosomal RNA". It matches the Rfam family "Bacterial small subunit ribosomal RNA", at positions 524 to 771 of the family's 1533-position model. The record is from RNAcentral.